This 541-nucleotide ribosomal RNA is filed under the name Fusarium oxysporum f. sp. cepae. Its description in RNAcentral is "SSU rRNA". It matches the Rfam family "Bacterial small subunit ribosomal RNA", at positions 370 to 883 of the family's 1533-position model. The record is from RNAcentral. Lineage: Eukaryota; Fungi; Ascomycota; Sordariomycetes; Hypocreales; Nectriaceae.
UUUAGGAGAAGUCUUAUUGUGAGGGCGAGUUAUAUAACACCAUAGGACUGGCCGUCCCAUAUGAAAAGAUUAUAUUAGAAUUGAAUGAAGCUUUGUUUAUAUAUUGAUAAUGACAGUAUAUAUAUCGUGUCUUGACUAAUUGCGUGCCAGCAGUCGCGGUAAUACGUAAGAGACUAGUGUUAUUCAUCUUAAUUAGGUUUAAAGGGUACCCAGACGGUCAAUAUAGCUUAUAAAAUGUUAGUACUUGACUAGAGUUUUAUGUAAGAGGGCAGUACUUGAGGAGGAGAGAUGAAAUUUCGUGAUACCAAAGGGACUCUGUAAAGGCGAAGGCAGCCCUCUAUGUAAAAACUGACGUUGAAGGACGAAGGCACAGAGAACAAACAGGAUUAGAUACCCAAGUAGUCUUUGCAGUAAAUGAUGAAUGCCAUAGGUUAGAUUGGUCAAUUAUAGUCUAGGGUUAGUCUAGCAAACUAAUACCCUAUGCUAUAAUCCUAAUAUCUGGUCUAUAAAUGAAAGUGUAAGCAUUUCACCUCAAGAGUAA